Long non-coding RNA from Nycticebus coucang (slow loris), 1815 nucleotides. RefSeq lists it as uncharacterized. The transcript is spliced from 4 exons. The record is from RefSeq and is a predicted model, not a curated record. NCBI's taxonomy places the organism in Eukaryota, Metazoa, Chordata, Mammalia, Primates, Lorisidae.
GGCUGCUACUGACAUUGGAAAAUUAUAUGCGAAGAGGGGGAAAAAAAGGAAAUAACAAAACCUUGUAUUUUCACCUUAAAAUAGGUGGUAUUGGGAAGAGAUGCCAACUGGAUAAAAUGAGAGCAAAGAAGUGGAAAGAAGACCAUCUGAAAACAGAAGAAAGGAAGCUGGGAUUCCAUUUUUUGCCACAGUGAUUCUUCACUGUGCAAGUGGAGAGCAGAAGUGGACUGUGCCCAUGGUACCAUGCCCCUCCAUGCUGUGUGCUCUCCCUACUCCACUUAUUACUUAAGGAAAACAUAAAGUCCAGAGAAGAAUGGAAUUCUCUACAUAUGAAUCAGGAGUUCUUUCAGAAACAUGUAACAGAGACCUACUGUUGGGAACUCAAAGCUACAGGUGAUGAGUCCCUAUAGACUAUAUGUGUUUCUGGAAUGUAAGGAGAAAGACGGAAGAGGAAAGAGACAAAGUUGGAGAAAACAACACAAAAGGGCUGUGACCGUUCGUGAGCCAGCGGAGGUCCUCAGCAGAGUGGACAUGAGCAGCCUGCAUGGAGACAAAUCAUGGUGUGGAGGGGAGACCAGCGGGUACAACCAGAGUUCAUAUGAUUCCUGCUCUGAUCAUCUCUCCAACAUGAGAAGAUGGAGACAGCGUUGGAUAGGAUGUCAGCGGACGUGUGCCUGACUUGCCUCUUGCUUCCACAGGUUAGCCAAACGACCACAGGUUCCCACCUGAAAAUAAAGUUGAAUGAACCAGGUGAUCUUUCGGGAGCCUUCUAAAUUGAGAUUCAGUGGCCAGGAAAUUAUAAUGGAGACCAGGAAAAGUAUGUGGCGUUUCACUGAGUGUGACCUCUUGUUAAGCAAGCAGCAGCCUCGGAUGUGGGUUGAGAACACAGGCUUUGGAAUCCAGCAGACUUGGGUUUGAAUCCUGGUCCUGCCACUUUUCAUCUUCCGGCUUAAGUCUUAGGCUUCGCAUUUCUGAGACAGAAAAAAAGUACCUACUUCAACGUGUCUUCAUGAAGAAUGCACUAAGAGGGGCUCUGGGAGUACCCCGCCCAGGGCUAAGCACGGAAGGAACACUUCCUACACAGAGCUAGCCCUGCGGGGGGAGCGCAGGGGCAGAGCUGAUGCGCUUGGGCACAGACUGCCUCAGUGCAGAACCGAAAAGCUUACUCCAAUCAUUUAUUCUUCUGUACAUUCAUUCAAUUCAUCCUACAUCUGCCCAGUGAGUAUUCGCACGGGCAUGCAGACAGCCAUGACCUGCGGCUGCAGCCUCCACCAGGCGGUUUUUAUAUUCUCACUCCAGCUUCCCCCAAGGUGCUGGGAUUGCAAGAAUGAGGAGUGUUUGGAAUAGUUAUCAUUAUGUUAUCUUUAAAAGUAUCAAGCUCCUGGUUUUAAUUAGUCUUGGCCCCCGGACUUUUACAUGAAACGAAAAGUCAGUGAGCUCAUGCUGUGGUGUCUAUUUCCGGAGCUGAUGUGUUUAGUCAUUUGCGUGUGAAACUGCCAGAGGCAGACUGGGUUACUGUCCUAUGGAGCAUCUGCACAGUGUUUAUCAUUUUGGCAUUUGCGAACUAUGUAAAUACGUGCAGACCCAUGACAACCUCAGGAUUUUGUUUCCAAAUGUGCCAUCAAUGAAAAACGGUGCAAAUGAGCAAAGUCAUCUAGACACAAUUUGGGUGGAGAGUAAGGAUGGGAAUUACAAUGUGUUUCCAAGAGCUCUGGGAGUGAAAAUCCGUUCCCAUCAUUGCAAAACAAUAAAGUCUUUGGAAGCACAAUAAUGUGGAGAAUGGCUUUAGAAUCAGGCUCGCCUUUAUUUUGGAAG